RNAcentral lists this ribosomal RNA (253 nucleotides) under uncultured bacterium. RNAcentral describes it as "partial 16S ribosomal RNA". It matches the Rfam family "Bacterial small subunit ribosomal RNA", at positions 524 to 776 of the family's 1533-position model. The record is from RNAcentral.
UACGGGGGGGGCAAGCGUUGUUCGGAAUUACUGGGCGUAAAGCGUGCGCAGGCGGUUCUGCAAGUCAGAUGUGAAAUCCCCGGGCUCAACCUGGGAACUGCGUUUGAAACUACAGGGCUAGAGUAUGGGAGAGGGAGGUAGAAUUCCACGUGUAGCAGUGAAAUGCGUAGAGAUGUGGAGGAAUACCAAUGGCGAAGGCAGCCUCCUGGCCUAAUACUGACGCUCAUGCACGAAAGCGUGGGGAGCAAACAGG